CCUACGGGAGGCAGCAGUGGGGAAUUUUGGUACAAUGGGCGCAAGCCUGAUCCAGCAAUGCCGCGUGAGUGAAGAAGGCCUUCGGGUUGUAAAGCUCUUUUGUCAGGGAAGAAACGGUUGUUCCUAAUACGGAUGGCUAAUGACGGUACCUGAAGAAUAAGCACCGGCUAACUACGUGCCAGCAGCCGCAGUAAUACGUAGGGUGCAAGCGUUAAUCGGAAUUACUGGGCGUAAAGCGUGCGCAGGCGGUUAUAUAAGACAGAGGUGAAAUCCCCGGGCUCAACCUGGGAACUGCCUUUGUGACUGUAUGGCUAGAGUGUGUCAGAGGGGGGUAGAAUUCCACGUGUAGCAGUGAAAUGCGUAGAUAUGUGGAGGAAUACCGAUGGCGAAGGCAGCCCCCUGGGAUAACACUGACGCUCAUGCACGAAAGCGUUGGGGAGCAAACAGGAUUAGAUACCCUGGUAGUCCACGCCCUAAACGAUGUCUACUAGUUGUCGGGACUUAAUUGUNUGUAGUCNGCACGACGNGAGUAGACGACCGUCGGAGGUACGGUCGCGAGAGUAAACGUACGAAAGAAAGUUAGUAGCGNGAGACGUGCGACGGACGACGACGAGGGAGGAGG
This 622-nucleotide ribosomal RNA is filed under the name uncultured bacterium. RNAcentral describes it as "bacterial SSU rRNA". The stretch from base 1 to 542 matches the Rfam family "Bacterial small subunit ribosomal RNA", at positions 338 to 873 of the family's 1533-position model. The record is from RNAcentral.